Molecule: long non-coding RNA, 963 nt
Filed under: Coturnix japonica (Japanese quail)
Lineage: Eukaryota; Metazoa; Chordata; Aves; Galliformes; Phasianidae
Description: lncRNA (ENSCJPG00005005079.1)
Source: RNAcentral
GUGCUUUCAUUUCUUCGCUGCAGAAGAGGGAGGGUAGCACUCCCCUUCCUAAACGCAGAGCUGUGAGUAAAGUAUGCUCAGGCUUAUGUAUGAGUGCCACACAUUGACGACCUGCUAGGAGCUCUGGCUCUACAGAUUAAAGUCUCAUUAGACCUCUUGGGAAUAAAUAGAUUAUCAUGCAUGACUACUUUGGCUUUGCAUUGGUUAUUUUUAUUUUCCUUCCUCUCCCAUUCAUCUUGAUCGUAUUCUGGGUGGUGAUAUCAUUCCCAACCCACAGAUAAACCAGCUGUGACUGUUCUAUUCUAGUAUGAUAGAAUUGACCAGCACUGCCCCAGACUGAGUGAGUCUGCAACUCUGCUUCUCCAGUAGGAAGCAGGGACAGGAUGUGCCCAUAGCUUGGUCCACACAGUUCAACACGGUGUCCCUUCUCUGAGAGAAAGUGUGACAUUCUUACUAUGCACUUCAAGUGGAGCAAGAAGUAAAAUGGCUGUGGCAAGAAAAUAUGCACUGUAACCAUGAUGAACUGAAAACAGCAUUGCCAAAAUAACUGGAAUUUACUCAUUACCUGAAAGAGAGGAACUAUUACUGUCUGUUGUGAUGGGCGUAACUGGAGGUGUGUUCAUGUUUUCUAAGAACAAAGGAAGUUCAAAAUGUCUUUGUUCCCGUAAUCACUGGUUUGGAUGUUUUGCUUGUGGAUUUGCAAAGGGAGGUUUCUGCUGAUGUCUGCUCGAAGGGGGAUGUGCACUUCGACUAAUGGAAGUCACCUCAGGAUGAUAAGGGAAGCGAGCCAUUUCGAAGAAUCAUAAGCCAACAAAUUCAACAGCAGAAACAGGAGAGAGAGGACAUUGAGGAGUCAUUUCAAGAGGGCCAGUAGCCGCUGCUUACUGGUCAGAGCCAUUCCAGACUUUAUGCUUGUAAUUGGCACUGUAAGAUGCUUUUGCUUUUUAUGUUUCCAAGUGAGCC